Molecule: ribosomal RNA, 101 nt
Filed under: Mycoplasmopsis bovis
Lineage: Bacteria; Bacillati; Mycoplasmatota; Mycoplasmoidales; Metamycoplasmataceae
Source: RNAcentral
AUCAGUGGCCAUAGCAAAGGGGAUCACCUGAUACCAUUCCGAACUCAGUAGUUAAGCCCUUUAGCGCCGAAGAUACCAGAGAUNAUUAGGUGCUUUUUGCU